This 155-nucleotide ribosomal RNA is filed under the name Origanum syriacum. Its description in RNAcentral is "5.8S ribosomal RNA". It matches the Rfam family "5.8S ribosomal RNA". From Rfam's summary of the family: 5.8S ribosomal RNA (5.8S rRNA) is a component of the large subunit of the eukaryotic ribosome. It is transcribed by RNA polymerase I as part of the 45S precursor that also contains 18S and 28S rRNA. Functionally, it is thought that 5.8S rRNA may be involved in ribosome translocation. Lineage: Eukaryota; Viridiplantae; Streptophyta; Magnoliopsida; Lamiales; Lamiaceae. The record is from RNAcentral.
CUCGGCAACGGAUAUCUCGGCUCUCGCGUCGAUGAAGAACGUAGCGAAAUGCGAUACUUGGUGUGAAUUGCAGAAUCCCGUGAACCAUCGAGUCUUUGAACGCAAGUUGCGCCCGAAGCCAUUAGGCUGAGGGCACGUCUGCCUGGGCGUCACGC